This 643-nucleotide ribosomal RNA is filed under the name Escherichia coli. RNAcentral describes it as "partial 23S ribosomal RNA". It matches the Rfam family "Bacterial large subunit ribosomal RNA", at positions 612 to 1254 of the family's 2925-position model. Lineage: Bacteria; Pseudomonadati; Pseudomonadota; Gammaproteobacteria; Enterobacterales; Enterobacteriaceae. The record is from RNAcentral.
AUAAUGGGUCAGCGACUUAUAUUCUGUAGCAAGGUUAACCGAAUAGGGGAGCCGAAGGGAAACCGAGUCUUAACUGGGCGUUAAGUUGCAGGGUAUAGACCCGAAACCCGGUGAUCUAGCCAUGGGCAGGUUGAAGGUUGGGUAACACUAACUGGAGGACCGAACCGACUAAUGUUGAAAAAUUAGCGGAUGACUUGUGGCUGGGGGUGAAAGGCCAAUCAAACCGGGAGAUAGCUGGUUCUCCCCGAAAGCUAUUUAGGUAGCGCCUCGUGAAUUCAUCUCCGGGGGUAGAGCACUGUUUCGGCAAGGGGGUCAUCCCGACUUACCAACCCGAUGCAAACUGCGAAUACCGGAGAAUGUUAUCACGGGAGACACACGGCGGGUGCUAACGUCCGUCGUGAAGAGGGAAACAACCCAGACCGCCAGCUAAGGUCCCAAAGUCAUGGUUAAGUGGGAAACGAUGUGGGAAGGCCCAGACAGCCAGGAUGUUGGCUUAGAAGCAGCCAUCAUUUAAAGAAAGCGUAAUAGCUCACUGGUCGAGUCGGCCUGCGCGGAAGAUGUAACGGGGCUAAACCAUGCACCGAAGCUGCGGCAGCGACGCUUAUGCGUUGUUGGGUAGGGGAGCGUUCUGUAAGCCUGUGAA